GCGGGAGUAGCUCAGCUGGUAGAGCGUCAGCUUCCCAAGCUGAAGGUCGCGGGUUCGAAACCCGUCUCCCGCU
RNAcentral lists this transfer RNA (73 nucleotides) under Bacteroidota bacterium. Its description in RNAcentral is "Bacteroidetes bacterium tRNA-Gly". It matches the Rfam family "tRNA". Rfam says of the family: Transfer RNA (tRNA) molecules are approximately 80 nucleotides in length. Their secondary structure includes four short double-helical elements and three loops (D, anti-codon, and T loops). Further hydrogen bonds mediate the characteristic L-shaped molecular structure. tRNAs have two regions of fundamental functional importance: the anti-codon, which is responsible for specific mRNA codon recognition, and the 3' end, to which the tRNAs corresponding amino acid is attached (by aminoacyl-tRNA synthetases). tRNAs cope with the degeneracy of the genetic code in two manners: having more than one tRNA (with a specific anti-codon) for a particular amino acid; and 'wobble' base-pairing, i.e. permitting non-standard base-pairing at the 3rd anti-codon position. Lineage: Bacteria; Pseudomonadati; Bacteroidota. The record is from RNAcentral. RNAcentral also lists the same sequence under 2 other names.